Schistosoma mattheei is the source of this 45-nucleotide non-coding RNA. The record is from Rfam. NCBI's taxonomy places the organism in Eukaryota, Metazoa, Platyhelminthes, Trematoda, Strigeidida, Schistosomatidae.
AUCCAGUUGACGAGUCCCAAAUAGAACGAAACGCGUGUCCUGGAU